This 1350-nucleotide ribosomal RNA is filed under the name Triticum aestivum (bread wheat). RNAcentral describes it as "partial small subunit ribosomal RNA". The record is from RNAcentral. Lineage: Eukaryota; Viridiplantae; Streptophyta; Magnoliopsida; Poales; Poaceae.
AUGGCGAAGGUCGCUGCCAUGGCCAUGGAGAAGGUGGACGCCAAGGACCGGGAGAAGAUCGAGGCCGUCCGCAAGGUGAUGCGCAAGCAGGCGCCGCUCUCCCCCAAGCAGGCGGAGUACUGCAACGACGCGUGCGUGGAGCGGUUCCUCCGGGCCAAGGGCGACAACGUGAAGAAGGCGGCCAAGACCCUGCGGGCCGUCCUCUCCUGGAGGGAGACCAUCGGAGCAGAUCACAUCAUCGCCGACGAGUUCUCCGGCGAGCUGUCCGAAGGCAUGGCCUACGUCGCCGGGCACGACGACGAGAACCGCCCCGUCCUGAUGUUCAAAAUCAAGCAGGAUGACUACCCCAAGUACCAGCCUCAGAAAUCGUUUGUGCGGUUCCUGGUGUUCACGCUGGAGGUGGCGGUGGCGUCCAUGAACCGCUUCGUGGACCAGUUCGUGCUCCUCUUCGACGCAAGCUUUUUCCGGUCGGCGUCGGCUUUCCUCAACCUCCUCAUGGGCACGCUCAAGAUCGUCGCCGACUACUACCCCGGUCGCCUCCACCGCGCCUUCGUCAUCGACCCGCCCUCCCUCUUCUCCGUCAUGUGGAAGGGAGUGCGGCCGUUCGUGGACCUGGCGCCGGCGACGGCGGUGGUGAGCUCGCUGGACUUCGAGGACUCGCUGGAGGACGCGUCCUUCACGGCCUACCCGCGGACGGCGUCGCUGCGCUUCGAGCCGUCCGUGGCGGCCGUGCUGACGACGGGGAAGGGAGGAACCGCCGUGGGCUCCGCCUCGUCGCGCUUCGCCUUCAGCGUGUCGGACAACGCGCUCAAGCCGUGGUACCUCUCCACCACGCCGGCGCCGGGCCCGCGCUCCGUCGUGCCGGCCUCCUCCAGCCCGUCCCUCGUCGGCGCGUCCCCGCUCUCCGCGCGCUCCUUCUCCUUCGCCUCGCCCGCCGCGCGCUCCACGCCGACACCCGUCCAGCAGCAGCGCACCGCCCGCGCGCCGCCGACGCCGUCCGCCGCCAAGGGAGGGCAGAAGACCCCCUCCCCUCUGCCGCAGCAGCAGCAGUUCCCGCGGACGCCGAGGCCGUCGUUCCUGCAGUCGCCGUUCACGUUCCGCAAGGACGGGCAGGCCAGCCGGGUGGAGCGCGAGCGCGAGUCCUUCCUGCCCUUCCUGCGCUUCUACCGCCGGCCCUACGACGAGAUAACCUACCGCGCCAUGAUGCGGCGGCCGCUCGGCGGGCUGAUAGCCAUCGUCGCCGAGGACUUCAGGCCCAUGUCCGCCCAGCAGCCGCUGCGCCGGCACGCCGGAGCGCUCCAUCACCAGCACCACCACCAUCAGCACCAGCACCAGCACCAGAGGAUCUGA